Molecule: ribosomal RNA, 478 nt
Filed under: uncultured bacterium
Lineage: Bacteria
Description: partial 16S ribosomal RNA
Rfam family: Bacterial small subunit ribosomal RNA
Source: RNAcentral
GAUGAACGCUGGCGGCGUGCUUAACACAUGCAAGUCGAGCGAGAAGUUUUGAAAAGAUUCUUCGGAUGAAAUUUAAAAUGGAAAGCGGCGGACGGGUGAGUAACGCGUAGGCAACCUGCCCCAUACAAAGGGAUAGCAUUUGGAAACGAAUAUUAAUACCUUAUGAAACUUAACUAGUGCAUGCUAGGUAGGUCAAAGAUUUAUCGGUAUGGGAUGGGCCUGCGUCUGAUUAGCUAGUUGGUGAGGUAACGGCUCACCAAGGCGACGAUCAGUAGCCGACCUGAGAGGGUGAACGGCCACAUUGGAACUGAGACACGGUCCAAACUCCUACGGGAGGCAGCAGUGGGGAAUAUUGCACAAUGGGGGAAACCCUGAUGCAGCAACGCCGCGUGAACGAUGAAGGCCUUUGGGUCGUAAAGUUCUGUUCUAGGUGAUGAAAACUGACAGUAACCUAGGAGAAAACCCCGGCGAACUCCGU